RNAcentral lists this small RNA (1243 nucleotides) under Pongo abelii (Sumatran orangutan). RNAcentral describes it as "retained intron". Lineage: Eukaryota; Metazoa; Chordata; Mammalia; Primates; Hominidae. The record is from RNAcentral.
UGGCCCGAGCCAGGUCAGUCGGGGAGUGCAGCUGGCCCAUCCUGGGCUCUGAGCUCCUAGACCAGGGGUGGGCCCUGCUAGGAGUGGGCCUGAGCCUCGCACGUCCUCUGAAACUACGCUAUGCUCUGCCUUUGCGGCGCGACGGGCGUGGGAGCGGGGGCUGCCCAAAGGUGGGCUGGGGUUGGAGGAAGUGGCCCGGUAGCCGCUGUGUGUCCUGAGGCCGUAAGGCGCCUGACCCCACCCUUGAAGCUGACAGAGCAGGGCCCGUUUUCUCUACACAAUAGUCAUGAUCCGCUGGGCCCCCAGCGCAUCUCCUGGAAGAGCCCAAUCAUCCUGGACGAGCUCUUCGGUAGCCUCAGACCGUCCUUGAAGAGGAUGACUGAGACAUUAUGGGCCACGCGCUGUGUGUCUGCUCUCGGGGAACUGUCAUCAUUGACAAUAAGCGCUACCUCUUCAUCCAGAAACUGGGGGAGGGCGGGUUCAGCUAUGUGGACCUAGUGGAAGGGUUACAUGAUGGACACUUCUACGCCCUGAAGCGAAUCCUGUGUCACGAGCAGCAGGACCGGGAGGAGGCCCAGCGAGAAGCCGACAUGCAUCGCCUCUUCAAUCAUCCCAACAUCCUUCGCCUGGUGGCUUACUGUCUGAGGGAACGGGGUGCUAAGCAUGAGGCCUGGCUGCUGCUACCAUUCUUCAAGAGAGGUACGCUGUGGAAUGAGAUAGAAAGGCUGAAGGACAAAGGCAACUUCCUGACUGAGGAUCAAAUCCUUUGGCUGCUGCUGGGGAUCUGCAGAGGCCUUGAGGCCAUUCAUGCCAAGGGUUAUGCCCACAGGGACUUGAAGCCCACCAAUAUAUUGCUCGGAGAUGAGGGGCAGCCAGUUUUAAUGGACUUGGGUUCCAUGAAUCAAGCAUGCAUCCAUGUGGAGGGCUCCCGCCAGGCUCUGACCCUGCAGGUAAAAGAGUCUCCAGGCUCCUUUUCUCACCUGUUCCCCAUUCCCACCCCUUCUGGUGCAUGUCCCAGUUUGGUCAUAUGACCAUGACCUGUGCCCCACUUUUGAGCUCUGGGAUCACUGUUCCAGGACUGGGCAGCCCAGCGGUGCACCAUCUCCUACCGAGCCCCAGAGCUCUUCUCUGUGCAGAGUCACUGUGUCAUCGAUGAGCGGACUGAUGUCUGGGUGAGGAGCAUGUGGGUGGGUAUCUGGGUAGGGAGGGCUGUGGCUCUCUGUACCCACCGUGGAGUAGAGUA